Molecule: ribosomal RNA, 1306 nt
Filed under: uncultured bacterium
Lineage: Bacteria
Description: bacterial SSU rRNA
Rfam family: Bacterial small subunit ribosomal RNA
Source: RNAcentral
AACGUACGCUGGCGGCACGCCUAACACAUGCAAGUCGAACGAAGUAGCAAUACUUAGUGGCAGACGGGUGAGUAACAUGUAGGUAUCUGCCCUUUGGCCUGGAAUAACACGAGGAAACUUGUGCUAAUACCGGAUAAGUCUUUACGGAGAAAGCUUUAUGCACCAUUGGAUGAGCCUGCACUUGAUUAGUUUGUUGGUGGGGUAAUGGCCUACCAAGACUGUGAUCAAUAGCUGAUUUGAGAGGAUGAUCAGCCACAUUGGGACUGAGACACGGCCCAAACUCCUACGGGAGGCAGCAGUGGGGAAUCUUGCACAAUGGAGGAAACUCUGAUGCAGCGAUGCCGCGUGAGUGAAGAAGGCCCUUGGGUUGUAAAGCUCUUUCGUCGGGGAAGAAAAUGACUGUACCCGAAUAAGAAGGUCCGGCUAACUUCGUGCCAGCAGCCGCGGUAAUACGAAGGGACCUAGCGUAGUUCGGAAUUACUGGGCUUAAAGAGUUCGUAGGUGGUUGAAAAAGUUAGUGGUGAAAUCCCAGAGCUUAACUCUGGAACUGCCAUUAAAACUUUUCAGCUAGAGUAUGAUAGAGGAAAGCAGAAUUUCUAGUGUAGAGGUGAAAUUCGUAGAUAUUAGAAAGAAUACCAAUUGCGAAGGCAGCUUUCUGGAUCAUUACUGACACUGAGGAACGAAAGCAUGGGUAGCGAAGAGGAUUAGAUACCCUCGUAGUCCAUGCCGUAAACGAUGUGUGUUAGACGUUGGAAAUUUAUUUUCAGUGUCGCAGGGAAACCGAUAAACACACCGCCUGGGGAGUACGACCGCAAGGUUAAAACUCAAAUGAAUUGACGGGGACCCGCACAAGUAGUGGAGCAUGUGGUUUAAUUCGAAGAUACGCGCAGAACCUUACCAACACUUGACAUGUUCGUCGCGACUCUAAGAGAUUAGAGUUUUCGGUUCGGCCGGACGGAACACAGGUGCUGCAUGGCUGUCGUCAGCUCGUGUCGUGAGAUGUUGGGUUAAGUCCCGCAACGAGCGCAACCCUCACUUUUAGUUGCCAUCAUUAAGUUGGGCACUCUGAAAGAACUGCCAGUGAUAAGCUGGAGGAAGGUGGGGAUGACGUCAAGUCCUCAUGGCCCUUACGUGUUGGGCUACACACGUGCUACAAUGGUAUCUACAACAGGAAGCAAGACUGCGAAGUUAAGCAAAUCCCUAAAAGAUACCUCAGUUCGGAUUGCACUCUGCAACUCGAGUGCAUGAAGCUGGAAUUACUAGUAAUCGUGGAUCAGCGUGCCACGGUGAAUGCGUUCCCGGGUCU